UUUAAAGGCAAAUCUGCUGAAAGGCAGGGACGCAAAGUUAGAAGGGGCUAAAGUCAGAAAGAUUGACCAGGUCAGCCAGUUGCCA
RNAcentral lists this non-coding RNA (85 nucleotides) under Anaerobutyricum hallii. RNAcentral's name for it is "Cyclic di-GMP-I riboswitch". It matches the Rfam family "c-di-GMP-I riboswitch aptamer". Rfam says of the family: GEMM was predicted in a large-scale screen for bacterial structured RNA regulatory elements. Genes associated with GEMM are involved in a diverse array of functions, including chemotaxis regulation, signal transduction, secretion and chitin. Lineage: Bacteria; Bacillati; Bacillota; Clostridia; Lachnospirales; Lachnospiraceae. The record is from RNAcentral.